AGAACGAACGCUGGCGGCAUGCCUAACGCAUGCAAGUCGAACGAGACCUUCGGGUCUAGUGGCGCACGGGUGCGUAACGCGUGGGAAUCUGCCCUUGGGUUCGGAAUAACAGCGAGAAAUUGGCUGCUAAUACCGGAUGAUGACGUAAGUCCAAAGACUUAUCGCCCAAGGAUGAGCCCGCGUAGGAUUAGCUUGUUGGUGAGGUAAGAGCUCACCAAGGCGACGAUCCUUAGCUGGUCUGAGAGGAUGAUCAGCCACACUGGGACUGAGACACGGCCAGACUCCUACGGGAGGCAGCAGUGGGGAAUAUUGGACAAGUGGGCGAAAGCCUGAUCCAGCAAUGCCGCGUGAGUGAUGAAGGCCUUAGGGUCGUAAAGGCUCUUUAACCGGAUAGAUAAUGACGUAGUAACCGGAAGAAGUAAGCUACCGG
Molecule: ribosomal RNA, 430 nt
Filed under: uncultured soil bacterium
Lineage: Bacteria
Description: bacterial SSU rRNA
Rfam family: Bacterial small subunit ribosomal RNA
Source: RNAcentral